GGUGCUUACCUUUGGUACCAGCAACAAUGUGCCCAGCAACCCUGAAGAGACUGUAGAGCCACCGUGAGACAUGAGUCUUAGCAGAAAGAACCUUUGUAAGAAAGUCUUUCGAGGGGAGACCUUCUGGCUCUCUCCAACUCCCUGAAAGGAGGGUGUAGCCAGGGGAGGUCGGCCUCUUCUCCCAAGUCCCAGGUGAUGGGACAAGAGGAAAUGACCUCAAGUUGCACCAAGAGAGGUUCAGGUUGGAUAUUAGGAAAAAUGUUUCCAGGGAAAGGGUUCUUAAGCCUUGGAAUGGGCUGCCCAGGGAAGGGGUUGAGGCCCCAUCCCUGGAGGGAUUUAAAAGCCGGGUUGCCAUAGUGCUUAGAGACAUGGUUUAGUGAAGGGUUUUUAUUAGAGUUAGGUUGAUGGUUGGACUGGAUGAUCUCAAAGGUCCCUUCCAACCUAGACAAUUCUAUCAUUCUAGGAAAUGGAAAUUAGCAGUUCAACGAUAUUAUUGUGGUGAAGUGACUAAAUCUGUGGAUGGAUGGAAAUGAGGUCCUCUGUAAGGGCCGAAGUCUGCCAAUACAAAAACAUAAAGCCUUCUAACAGCUUGCGUGGGAGGCACAGUCUUCACAAAACAAGCAAAGCAAGCAGUUUCCUGAAAAAAAGGAAGGAAGGAGACGUGGGUCAGAGACCCCAUUCCACAGUGGGGCAUCGACAGAAGACAGCACGGCCUGAUUCCACUCUUUGGGAACACGUAAGAAUUAGACAGCAACUGUGGGAUUGGAGACUUCUUGUCUUGCCAUCCCUCACCCUGUUCCUGUGCCAGGUAAGAAUUUGACCACUGGGAAUAUACUCGUGAGUUUCCAGGCCCACAGCGUAGAAGGGAAUGGGAAUACGUGACUUGUGGAAAAAGGUCUGAAGGCAGAUUUUAAAAUGGGGGUGUCCAGAGCAAUAGGAAAGCUCUGACAACUCAGAGUCAACUUGGAAUUUGCCACCCGUAAAUUCUUACCUCUUUUUUUUUUCUGAAGACUGUUACUGCCUCUGCCUUUUAGUUUUUUAGAUAUUUAACUUAAAAUCACGAUAAAGUAGAUGUUUUCUGACUAUGUUAGUCCCUGUGGGCAGAUGACCCACGGCAAGAAUCAGAACUUCCAGUUCUGGAAGCUUCUGUUGGAGGGUUCAAGGCCAGGCUGGAUGGGGCUUGGAGCAACCUGGUCUGGUGGGAGGUGUCCCUGCCCAGGGCAGGGGGUUGGAACUCGAUGAUCUUUAAGGUCCCUUCCAACUCCAACCAUUCUAUCACUUUAUGAAUAAUCUAUCAACUCCAAGCAGAGCCACCACCUAACAAAGGGCAACAUAGAAUCACCCUGGCCUUGGACACCUCCAGAGGUGUCCUCAUAGAAGAGGUGGGGAGGAUGAGAGGACAACAGGCUCAAUACUUGCAGCAGCCACCCUAGAACUAGCACAUGAACUAACUCUGACCCUCCUACAUCUCCUUUUGUCUGAGAAAGACAAGUCUCAUGACUUUCUAGUCAUCACAGUGACUACUUUGCCCUUGUGGCCUACCACAAACUCUCAGGAUGCUGGAUGAACUCAGGCUGGUGGCAACGCUCUGAUCUGUCAGAUGUGGGAGAACUGGCAACAGCCACAAAAAUUUUUGGAUGUGGACAGGCACGAUCAAAGUCCUCUGCUGUGUCUUCACCAUGUUCCUCAUGAGACUGAGCGCCCAUACUCCCGCCAGUAGGUGGCCAAAUAAAGUUUUGGUGGACAACA
Molecule: long non-coding RNA, 1749 nt
Filed under: Calidris pugnax (ruff)
Lineage: Eukaryota; Metazoa; Chordata; Aves; Charadriiformes; Scolopacidae
Description: lncRNA (ENSCPUG00000005610.1)
Source: RNAcentral